UAGGGAAUCUUCGGCAAUGGACGGAAGUCUGACCGAGCAACGCCGCGUGAGUGAAGAAGGUUUUCGGAUCGUAAAACUCUGUUGUUAGAGAAGAACAAGGACGUUAGUAACUGAACGUCCCCUGACGGUAUCUAACCAGAAAGCCACGGCUAACUACGUGCCAGCAGCCGCGGUAAUACGUAGGUGGCAAGCGUUGUCCGGAUUUAUUGGGCGUAAAGCGAGCGCAGGCGGUUUCUUAAGUCUGAUGUGAAAGCCCCCGGCUCAACCGGGGAGGGUCAUUGGAAACUGUGAGACUUGAGUGCAGAAGAGGAGAGUGGAAUUCCAUGUGUAGCGGUGAAAUGCGUAGAUAUAUGGAGGAACACCAGUGGCGAAGGCGGCUCUCUGGUCUGUAACUGACGCUGAGGCUCGAAAGCGUGGGGAGCAAACAGG
RNAcentral lists this ribosomal RNA (429 nucleotides) under Gemmatimonadota bacterium. Its description in RNAcentral is "Gemmatimonadetes bacterium partial 16S ribosomal RNA". It matches the Rfam family "Bacterial small subunit ribosomal RNA", at positions 355 to 776 of the family's 1533-position model. The record is from RNAcentral. Lineage: Bacteria; Pseudomonadati; Gemmatimonadota.